RNAcentral lists this ribosomal RNA (403 nucleotides) under uncultured bacterium. RNAcentral describes it as "partial 16S ribosomal RNA". It matches the Rfam family "Bacterial small subunit ribosomal RNA", at positions 28 to 526 of the family's 1533-position model. The record is from RNAcentral.
GACGAACGCUGGCGGCGUGCCUAAUACCUGCAAGUCGAACGCAGUGGGGACGGGUGAGUAACACGUGGGUAACCUACCAUCAGAGGGGAUAACACUUGGAAACAGGUGCUAAACCGAUACUGAUGGAUGGACCCGCGGUGCAUUAGCUAGUUGGUGAGGUAAAGGCUCAACAAGGCCACGAUGCAUAGCCGCCCUGAGAGGGGGAUCGGCCACACUGGUACUGAGACACGGUCCAGACUCCUACGGGAGGCAGCAGUGGGGAAUAUUGCACAAUGGGCGCAAGCCUGAUGCAGCCAUGCCGCGUGUGUGAAGAAGUCCUUCGGGUUGUAAAGCACUUUCAGCGGGGAGGCGUUACCCGCAGAAGAAGCACCGGCUAACUCCGUGCCAGCAGCCGCGGUAAUUC